This 558-nucleotide long non-coding RNA is filed under the name Prunus persica (peach). RNAcentral describes it as "long non-coding RNA (PPER_LNC004720)". Lineage: Eukaryota; Viridiplantae; Streptophyta; Magnoliopsida; Rosales; Rosaceae. The record is from RNAcentral.
GGUGAUGUCAGGAAUUCCAAAGGGUUCGCCUCGGGUUUUGAGAAAUUCGGGGCGGGUCCUUUCAAUGUUAUCUAUCUUUCGCACUUUACUUUACGCAUUUGUCUUCAAAUUAUAUUUAAGUUUAAGCACAUUUACUUUACGCACUUGUUCUCCGUUUCGUUACAUUUCACCUUCCAUCUACAUCUCUACCCACUCCACAUCAUUUGGUCACUCACAUAAAGCCUUGACCCCGAGGUAGUGAAAGAACCUAGGCCGUGAGGAGGUUUCUUGCUUGGCCGAACAAUCGUUUGAUUAAAGUCAGAUUUUGGACGCAACACAUCCAUCUACUCACAUUCCAUUCAAGCCCAAAUUCGGGGUUUGGUGGUGGCACGCUCCGCACUCAAAAAAGAAGAAGGACCAAAAGUUCCUUCCGUCGGCCGCCCCGGGCGAAAAGAGGGAAACAUAAUUUGGCACGCCCGGUGGGACCACUAGGUUUUGUAUGGUCGUAAACACUAGGAGGAAUCCUAGAAGAGAUCAAGAAUUUGAAGAAUCUAGACUUCGGUCGGAAUCAGAGACAAG